UACGAGGGGGGCAAAUGUUGUUCGGAAUCACUGGGCGUAAAGGGAGCGUAGGCGGGUUUUUAAGUCAGGUGUUUAAUCCCGGGGCCCAACCCCGGACCGGCACUUGAAACUGGGAAUCUUGAAUAGGGGAGAGGUCAGUGGAAUUGGAGGUGUAGCGGUGGAAUGCGUAGAGAUCUCCAAGAACACCGGUGGCGAAGGCGGGUCUCUGGACCGAUACUGACGCUGAGGAGCGAAAGCGUGGGGAGCGAACAGG
Molecule: ribosomal RNA, 253 nt
Filed under: uncultured bacterium
Lineage: Bacteria
Description: partial 16S ribosomal RNA
Rfam family: Bacterial small subunit ribosomal RNA
Source: RNAcentral